UGGCUCAGUGGUAGAGCAUGACGCUUGCAAUGUCAGGAUUAUGGGUUUGACUCCCGG
Molecule: transfer RNA, 57 nt
Filed under: Salmo salar (Atlantic salmon)
Lineage: Eukaryota; Metazoa; Chordata; Actinopteri; Salmoniformes; Salmonidae
Also listed under: 1 other name
Rfam family: tRNA
About the family: Transfer RNA (tRNA) molecules are approximately 80 nucleotides in length. Their secondary structure includes four short double-helical elements and three loops (D, anti-codon, and T loops).
Source: Rfam by way of RNAcentral